AUUGAACGCUGGCGGCAGGCCUAACACAUGCAAGUCGAGCGGCAGCGACUUAACUGAACCUUCGGGGAACGUUAAGGGCGGCGAGCGGCGGACGGGUGAGUAAUGCCUGGGAAUAUGCCCUGAUGUGGGGGAUAACUAUUGGAAACGAUGGCUAAUACCGCAUAAUCUCUUCGGAGCAAAGAGGGGGACCUUCGGGCCUCUCGCGUCAGGAUUAGCCCAGGUGGGAUUAGCUUGUUGGUGAGGUAAUGGCUCACCAAGGCAACGAUCCCUAGCUGGUCUGAGAGGAUGAUCAGCCACACUGGAACUGAGACACGGUCCAGACUCCUACGGGAGGCAGCAGUGGGGAAUAUUGCACAAUGGGGGAAACCCUGAUGCAGCCAUGCCGCGUGUGUGAAGAAGGCCUUCGGGUUGUAAAGCACUUUCAGUAGGGAGGAAGGUAGUGUAGUUAACACCUGCAUUAUUUGACGUUACCUACAGAAGAAGCACCGGCUAACUCCGUGCCAGCAGCCGCGGUAAUACGGAGGGUGCGAGCGUUAAUCGGAAUUACUGGGCGUAAAGCGCAUGCAGGCGGCCUGUUAAGUCAGAUGUGAAAGCCCGGGGCUUAACCUCGGAAUUGCAUUUGAAACUGGCAGGCUAGAGUCUUGUAGAGGGGGGUAGAAUUUCAGGUGUAGCGGUGAAAUGCGUAGAGAUCUGAAGGAAUACCAGUGGCGAAGGCGGCCCCCUGGACAAAGACUGACGCUCAGAUGCGAAAGCGUGGGGAGCAAACAGG
This 769-nucleotide ribosomal RNA is filed under the name uncultured bacterium. Its description in RNAcentral is "bacterial SSU rRNA". It matches the Rfam family "Bacterial small subunit ribosomal RNA", at positions 28 to 776 of the family's 1533-position model. The record is from RNAcentral.